Molecule: unclassified non-coding RNA, 214 nt
Filed under: Hevea brasiliensis (rubber tree)
Lineage: Eukaryota; Viridiplantae; Streptophyta; Magnoliopsida; Malpighiales; Euphorbiaceae
Source: RNAcentral
AAAUCUACUGCAAAAACCAUGAAAUUAUUUUUGCUGUCCUAUAAUUGCUAAAUUCACAUGUAGAUUGAAAAUUUGCUACUCUUCUGUUAACUUCUAUAUGAAGCAAAAAAAGCUUUAACACUUGAAUUAUCUAACAAACAUUUAAUUAGAAAGUACAGAUGCAGGUUCAAAACCGCAUCAGAAGGGCAUAAAUACCUCUAGGAUAUCCUUUAAU